UACGUAGGGGUCGAGCGUUGUCCGGACUUACUGGGCGUAAAGCGUGGGUAGGUGGGUGCUGAUGUGCCGUGUGAAAGCGCCGCGCUUCUCGCGGCGAGGUCGCGGUAGACACAGCACCUAGAGGCACGGAGAGGGGCGUAGAAUUCCCGGUGUAGUGGUGAAAUGCGUAGAUAUCGGGAGGAACACCUAUGCGAAGGCAGCUCGCUGGACGUACUGACGCUGGAGACGCGAAACGUGGGAGCAACA
This 246-nucleotide ribosomal RNA is filed under the name uncultured bacterium. RNAcentral describes it as "partial 16S ribosomal RNA". It matches the Rfam family "Bacterial small subunit ribosomal RNA", at positions 524 to 773 of the family's 1533-position model. The record is from RNAcentral.